RNAcentral lists this ribosomal RNA (253 nucleotides) under uncultured bacterium. RNAcentral describes it as "partial 16S ribosomal RNA". It matches the Rfam family "Bacterial small subunit ribosomal RNA", at positions 524 to 776 of the family's 1533-position model. The record is from RNAcentral.
UACAGAGGUCCCAAGCGUUGUUCGGAUUCACUGGGCGUAAAGGGUGCGCAGGUGGCAUGGUAAGUUCGAUGUGAAAGCCCCGGGCUUAACCCGGGAAAGGCAUUGGAUACUACUGUGCUGGAGGAUUGGAGGGGGGACUGGAAUUCUUGGUGUAGCCGUGAAAUGCGUAGAUAUCAAGAGGAACACCAGUGGCGAAGGCGAGUCCCUGGACAAUACCUGACACUGAGGCACGAAAGCCAAGGGAGCAAACAGG